CCACCUCUGGGGUGGCGCUGGGGGCUGUUUACACAGGGACCCCUGGCCCGGCGCUGGGUGCAGCCACCUCUGGGGUGUGGCAGGGAGGCUGUUUAUCCAGGGACCCC
Chelonoidis abingdonii (Abingdon island giant tortoise) is the source of this 107-nucleotide non-coding RNA. The record is from RefSeq and is a predicted model, not a curated record. NCBI's taxonomy places the organism in Eukaryota, Metazoa, Chordata, Testudines, Testudinidae.